GGUUAACAGAGACAAACGGGGCAUUUGUAUGGUCCCGUGAGAGGUGAAAUUCUUGGACCGUGGCCAGACAAACUACAAGCGAAAGCAUUUGCCAAGAAUGUUUUUAUUAAUCAAGAACGAAAGUCAGAGGUUCGAAGGCGAUCAGAUACCGCCCUAGUUCUGACCGUAAACGAUGCCAACUAGCGAUCCGCCGAUGGAAAUUAUAUUGCCUUGGUGGGGAGCUUCCCGGAAACGAAAGUCUUCCGGUUCCGGGGGAAGUAUGGUUGCAAAGCUGAAACUUAAAGGAAUUGACGGAAGGGCACCACCAGGAGUGGAGCCUGCGGCUUAAUUUGACUCAACACGGGGAAACUCACCCGGCCCGGACACUGUGAGGAUUGACAGAUUGAUAGCUUUUUCAUGAUUCAGUGGAUGGUGGUGCAUGGCCGUUCUUAGUUCGUGGAGUGAUUUGUCUGGUUUAUUCCGAUAACGAGCGAGACUCUAACCUACUAAAUAGUUGGUACAUACUCUUAGUGUAUACAGCUUCUUAGAGGGAUUUGCGGCGUUCAGCCGAAAGAAAUUGAGCAAUAACAGGUCUGUGAUGCCCUUAGAUGUCCGGGGCUGCACGCGCGCUACACUGGCAAAAUCAACGUGCUUGUCCUACCUGAAAGGGGCGGGUAAACCAUUGAAAAUUUGCCGUGAUUGGGAUCGGAAAUUGCAAUUAUUUUCCGUGAACGAGGAAUUCCAAGUAAGUGCGAGUCAUCAGCUCGCGUUGAUUACGUCCCUGCCCUUUGUACACACCGCCCGUCGCUGCCCGGGACUGAGCCAUUUCGAGAAAUUUGGGGACCGUUGAUUUAAUUUUUCUAAAUUACUUUGAUGGAAACCAAUUUAAUCGCAGUGGCUUGAACCGGGCAAAAGUCGUAACAAGGUAGCUGUAGGUGAACCUGCUGCUG
This 929-nucleotide ribosomal RNA is filed under the name Meloidogyne arenaria. Its description in RNAcentral is "SSU rRNA". It matches the Rfam family "Eukaryotic small subunit ribosomal RNA", at positions 867 to 1823 of the family's 1831-position model. Lineage: Eukaryota; Metazoa; Nematoda; Chromadorea; Rhabditida; Meloidogynidae. The record is from RNAcentral.